Molecule: transfer RNA, 72 nt
Filed under: Schistocerca americana (American grasshopper)
Lineage: Eukaryota; Metazoa; Arthropoda; Insecta; Orthoptera; Acrididae
Description: tRNA-Glu
Rfam family: tRNA
About the family: Transfer RNA (tRNA) molecules are approximately 80 nucleotides in length. Their secondary structure includes four short double-helical elements and three loops (D, anti-codon, and T loops).
Source: RNAcentral
UCCGGUAUGGUCUAGUGGCUAGGAUACCUGGCUUUCACCCAGGAGGCCUGGGUUCGAUUCCCGGUACCUGAA